Molecule: ribosomal RNA, 183 nt
Filed under: uncultured Rhodocyclaceae bacterium
Lineage: Bacteria; Pseudomonadati; Pseudomonadota; Betaproteobacteria; Rhodocyclales; Rhodocyclaceae
Description: partial 16S ribosomal RNA
Rfam family: Bacterial small subunit ribosomal RNA
Source: RNAcentral
UUGGCCCUUAUGGGUAGGGCUUCACACGUCAUACAAUGGUCGGUACAGAGGUUGCAACCGCGAGGGGAGCUAAUCCACAAAGCCGAUCGUAGUCCGGAUCGCAGUCUGCAACUCGACUGCGUGAAGUCGGAAUCGCUAGUAAUCGUGGAUCAGCAUGUCACGGUGAAUACGUUCCCGGGUCUU